GAGGGAGGCCCCCUCCCCCCCGGCAGCCGCCGCCGCCGCCGCCGCCAUGUUUGAUGUGGGCAGCGCUGCGCGGGGCGUCCGUUAAGUCAAUAUGGUCACAAUCUAAGGAACUGUGUUAUAUCUAGAACUGGAGUGACCCAACUUGGAGAUUUACAAUAUCACAUCAUUAUGAUCCUGACAGCUGCACUUAAUUGCAGAUAAUGUACCUACAUUUUAAAAUAGAAAAUAAAUACAAGAAGUUGCAUCACUUGCA
This is a long non-coding RNA of Rhea pennata, 253 nucleotides long. RefSeq lists it as uncharacterized. The record is from RefSeq and is a predicted model, not a curated record. Lineage: Eukaryota; Metazoa; Chordata; Aves; Rheiformes; Rheidae. The transcript is spliced from 2 exons.